Molecule: ribosomal RNA, 300 nt
Filed under: uncultured Sporotomaculum sp.
Lineage: Bacteria; Bacillati; Bacillota; Clostridia; Eubacteriales; Desulfallaceae
Description: partial 16S ribosomal RNA
Rfam family: Bacterial small subunit ribosomal RNA
Source: RNAcentral
GGGAAGGCGGGGGAAGCAGUGGCGUGAAUAUGGAGGGUGGAAGCGUUAUCCGGAUGCACUGGGGUUAAAGGGGGCGGAGGGGGGCAAUUAAGGCAGUGGUGAAAUAUCCGGGCUUAACCCGGAAACUGCCAUUGAUACUAUUUGUCUUGAAUACUGUGGAGGUCAGCGGAAUAUGUCAUGUAGCGGUGUAAUGCUUAGAUAUGACAUAGAACACCAAUUGCGAAGGCAGCUGGCUACACAAAUAUUGACACUGAGGCACGAAAGCGUGGGGAUCAAACAGGAUUAGAUACCCCAGUAGUC